GACAGGGGCACCUGCAUCCAGCCAUUCCGCGUGAGUGAAGAAGGCUUCGGGUUGUAAAGCUCUUUCGCAAGGGAAGAAAACUUAUGAUCGAAUAAAUCAUGAGGUUGACGGUACCUUGAUAAGAAGCACCGGCUAACUACGUGCCAGCAGCCGCGGUAAUACGUAGGGUGCGAGCGUUAAUCGGAAUUACUGGGCGUAAAGCGUGCGCAGGCGGUUUUGUAAGUCGGAUGUGAAAUCCCCGGGCUCAACCUGGGAACUGCGUUCGAAACUGCAAGGCUAGAGUGUGUCAGAGGGGGGUAGAAUUCCACGUGUAGCAGUGAAAUGCGUAGAGAUGUGGAGGAAUACCAAUGGCGAAGGCAGCCCCCUGGGAUAACACUGACGCUCAUGCACGAAAGCGUGGGGAGCAAACAGGAUUAGAUACCCUGGUAGUCCACGCCCUAAACGAUGUCAACUAGUUGUUGGUAGAGUAAAAUCUAUGAGUAACGUAGCUAACGCGUGAAGUUGACCGCCUGGGGAGUACGGUCGCAAGAUUAAAACUCAAAGGAAUCGACGGGGGCCCGCACAAGCGGUGGAUUAUGUGGAUUAAUUCGAUGCC
RNAcentral lists this ribosomal RNA (595 nucleotides) under uncultured bacterium. RNAcentral's name for it is "bacterial SSU rRNA". It matches the Rfam family "Bacterial small subunit ribosomal RNA", at positions 371 to 958 of the family's 1533-position model. The record is from RNAcentral.